ACAACCGAUAUCCCUGAUUGGUUCUAUGUAGAGGCCUGUGGAACCAUUGCAAGAAAUCGGUUACAGGAAACACUUUCAGCAGAAGAUUUGUCUCUCUUCUAUAGCAAAUCUCCUAUCUCGCAUGUUUCAAAGGUCUUGCCUUUGAACCAAACAUUUUUUAGAUUGAAUUGCCAUGUUAUUACAAGCUCUCUUAAUGAUUGAAUUACCCUGAUUGGUGCUAAUGAUUAUGAUUACGAUGUAUCUUAUUUCAUGGAGUUGAUUUCUGGCAUUAUGUCUUUUCAUGAAUUCUGCAGGUAAAGGCACCAACACUGUUCCUUUUAGGUGCACAAGAUCGUCGCGUUCCAAUCUUUGAUGGACUGCAAUACGCUCGAGCUUUAAAAGAGAAAGGAGCAGAGGUCAAAAUCAUCAUGUUUCAAAAUGAUGUUCAUGCACUCAAAAGGCCACAAUCUGAAUGGGAAAGCAUCCUUAACAUUGG
This is a long non-coding RNA of Vicia villosa (hairy vetch), 475 nucleotides long. RefSeq lists it as uncharacterized. The record is from RefSeq and is a predicted model, not a curated record. The transcript has 3 exons. Lineage: Eukaryota; Viridiplantae; Streptophyta; Magnoliopsida; Fabales; Fabaceae.